RNAcentral lists this ribosomal RNA (378 nucleotides) under uncultured eukaryote. RNAcentral describes it as "SSU rRNA". It matches the Rfam family "Eukaryotic small subunit ribosomal RNA", at positions 587 to 972 of the family's 1831-position model. The record is from RNAcentral.
AGCUCCAAUAGCGUAUAUUAAAGUUGUUGCGGUUAAAAAGCUCGUAGUUGGAUUUCUGCUUAGCGUGACCGGUUCGCCUUCGGGCUGAUAUCAGGUUCACGCUGGGCUUUCUCUCGAGAAAUAUGGCUGCGCCAUGUUGUGUGGCCUAUUGCUCGGGUCUCAUACUUUGAGGAAAUUAGAGUGUUUCAAGCAGGCGUUUGCCUUGAAUAUAUUAGCAUGGAAUAACACUUAGAACUCUGGUUCUAUUUUGUUGGUUUCAGGGACUGGAUUAUGAUUAAUAGGGAUAGUCGGGGGCAUUCGUACUUAACUGUCAGAGGUGAAAUUCUUGGAUUUGUUAAAGACGAACUAAUGCGAAAGCAUUUGCCAAGGAUGUUUUCA